RNAcentral lists this ribosomal RNA (455 nucleotides) under Flavobacterium sp. 01WB02.4-36. RNAcentral's name for it is "bacterial SSU rRNA". It matches the Rfam family "Bacterial small subunit ribosomal RNA", at positions 1 to 464 of the family's 1533-position model. Lineage: Bacteria; Pseudomonadati; Bacteroidota; Flavobacteriia; Flavobacteriales; Flavobacteriaceae. The record is from RNAcentral.
UGAGCUUUGAUCCUGGCUCAGGAUGAACGCUAGCGGCAGGCUUAACACAUGCAAGUCGAGGGGUAUAGUUCUUCGGAGCUAGAGACCGGCGCACGGGUGCGUAACGCGUAUGCAAUCUACCUUUUACAGAGGGAUAGCCCAGAGAAAUUUGGAUUAAUACCUCAUAGUAUAUAGACCUGGCAUCAGGAUUAUAUUAAAGUCACAACGGUAAAAGAUGAGCAUGCGUCCCAUUAGCUAGUUGGUAAGGUAACGGCUUACCAAGGCUACGAUGGGUAGGGGUCCUGAGAGGGAGAUCCCCCACACUGGUACUGAGACACGGACCAGACUCCUACGGGAGGCAGCAGUGAGGAAUAUUGGACAAUGGGCGCAAGCCUGAUCCAGCCAUGCCGCGUGCAGGAUGACGGUCCUAUGGAUUGUAAACUGCUUUUAUACGAGAAGAAACAUCCCGACGUGUC